GAUGAACGCUGGCGGCGUGCCUAAUACAUGCAAGUCGAGCGAACGGACGAGAAGCUUGCUUCUCUGAUGUUAGCGGCGGACGGGUGAGUAACACGUGGAUAACCUACCUAUAAGACUGGGAUAACUUCGGGAAACCGGAGCUAAUACCGGAUAAUAUUUUGAACCGCAUGGUUCAAAAGUGAAAGACGGUCUUGCUGUCACUUAUAGAUGGAUCCGCGCUGCAUUAGCUAGUUGGUAAGGUAACGGCUUACCAAGGCAACGAUGCAUAGCCGACCUGAGAGAGGGAUCGGCCACACUGGAACUGAGACACGGUCCAGACUCCUACGGGAGGCAGCAGUAGGGAAUCUUCCGCAAUAGGCGAAAGCCUGACGGAGCAACGCCGCGUGAGUGAUGAAGGUCUUCGGAUCGUAAAACUCUGUUAUUAGGGAAGAACAUAUGUGUAAGUAACUGUGCACAUCUUGACGGUACCUAAUCAGAAAGCCACGGCUAACUACGUG
RNAcentral lists this ribosomal RNA (497 nucleotides) under uncultured bacterium. RNAcentral's name for it is "partial 16S ribosomal RNA". It matches the Rfam family "Bacterial small subunit ribosomal RNA", at positions 28 to 507 of the family's 1533-position model. The record is from RNAcentral.